RNAcentral lists this ribosomal RNA (253 nucleotides) under uncultured bacterium. RNAcentral's name for it is "partial 16S ribosomal RNA". It matches the Rfam family "Bacterial small subunit ribosomal RNA", at positions 524 to 776 of the family's 1533-position model. The record is from RNAcentral.
UACGUAGGCAGCAAGCGUUGUUCGGAGUUACUGGGCGUAAAGGGUGUGUAGGCGGUUCCUUAAGUUUGCUGUGAAAUCUCCCGGCUUAACCGGGAGGGUGCGGUGAAUACUGAGGGACUAGAGUACGGGAGAGGAAAGUGGAAUUCCCGGUGUAGCAGUGAAAUGCGUAGAGAUCGGGAGGAACAUCAGUUGCGAAGGCGGCUCUCUGGACCAGCACUGACACUGAGGCACGAAAGCGUGGGGAGCAAACAGG